GUGGAUAACCUGCCCUUGGGUCCGGCAUAACCCCGGGAAACUGGGGAUAAUUCCGGAUAACGCAUAUAUGCUGGAAUGCUUUCUGCGUAAAAUGGAUUCGUCUGCCCAAGGAUGGGUCUGCGGCCUAUCAGGUAGUAGUGGGUGUAAUGUACCUACUAGCCUACGACGGGUACGGGUUGUGAGAGCAAGAGCCCGGAGAUGGAUUCUGAGACAUGAAUCCAGGCCCUACGGGGCGCAGCAGGCGCGAAAACUUUACAAUGCGGGAAACCGUGAUAAGGGGACACCGAGUGCCAGCAUCCUAUGCUGGCUGUCCGGGUGUGUAGAAUACACCUGUCAGCAAGGGCCGGGCAAGACCGGUGCCAGCCGCCGCGGUAACACCGGCGGCCCGAGUGGUGAUCGUGAUUAUUGGGUCUAAAGGGUCCGUAGCCGGUUUGGUCAGUCCUCCGGGAAAUCUGACAGCUCAACUGUUAGGCUUUCGGAGGAUACUGCCAGACUUGGAACCGGGAGAGGUAAGAGGUACUACAGGGGUAGGAGUGAAAUCUUGUAAUCCCUGUGGGACCACCUGUGGCGAAAGCGUCUUACCAGAACGGGUUCGACGGUGAGGGACGAAAGCUGGGGGCACGAACCGGAUUAGAUACCCGGGUAGUCCCAGCCGUAAACGAUGCUCGCUAGGUGUCAGGCAUGGCGCGACCGUGUCUGGUGCCGCAGGGAAGCCGUGAAGCGAGCCACCUGGGAAGUACGGCCGCAAGGCUGAAACUUAA
RNAcentral lists this ribosomal RNA (761 nucleotides) under uncultured archaeon. RNAcentral's name for it is "bacterial SSU rRNA". It matches the Rfam family "Archaeal small subunit ribosomal RNA", at positions 100 to 859 of the family's 1478-position model. The record is from RNAcentral.